AACGUAGGAGGCAAGCGUUAUCCGGAGUUACUGGGCGUAAAGCGUGCGUAGGCGGGUUCGUAAGUGGGUGGUGAAAGCCCUCGGCUAAACUGAGGGAGGACCGCUCAGACUGCGAGUCUAGAGGCGGAUAGAGGAGCGUGGAAUUCCGGGUGUAGCGGUGAAAUGUGUAGAGAUCCGGAGGAACACCAGUGGCGCAAGCGGCGCUCUGGGUCCGUACUGACGCUGAUGCACGAAAGCGUGGGGAGCGAACGGG
RNAcentral lists this ribosomal RNA (253 nucleotides) under uncultured bacterium. RNAcentral's name for it is "partial 16S ribosomal RNA". It matches the Rfam family "Bacterial small subunit ribosomal RNA", at positions 524 to 776 of the family's 1533-position model. The record is from RNAcentral.